AUCGAACGCUGGCGGCAGGCUUAACACAUGCAAGUCGAACGAGUGGCGGACGGGCGAGUAAUGCUUGGGAAUCUAGCUUAUGGAGGGGGAUAACUACGGGAAACUGUAGCUAAUACCGCGUACCAUAGGAUGAGCCCAAGUGGGAUUAGGUAGUUGGUGGGGUAAAGGCUCACCAAGCCGACGCUCCCUAGCUGGUCUGAGAGGAUGACCGGCCACACUGGGACUGAGACACGGCCCAGACUCCUACGGGAGGCAGCAGUGGGGAAUAUUGCGCAAUGGGGGCAACCUGACGCAGCCAUGCCGCGUGAAUGAAGAAGGCCUUCGGGUUGUAAAAUUCUGUCGGUAGCGAGGCGUUAUCUACAGAGAAAGCCCCGGCUAACUCCGUGCCAGCAGCCGCGGUAAUAC
RNAcentral lists this ribosomal RNA (405 nucleotides) under uncultured bacterium. RNAcentral's name for it is "partial 16S ribosomal RNA". It matches the Rfam family "Bacterial small subunit ribosomal RNA", at positions 30 to 526 of the family's 1533-position model. The record is from RNAcentral.